This 253-nucleotide ribosomal RNA is filed under the name uncultured bacterium. RNAcentral's name for it is "partial 16S ribosomal RNA". It matches the Rfam family "Bacterial small subunit ribosomal RNA", at positions 524 to 776 of the family's 1533-position model. The record is from RNAcentral.
GACGAGCCACAUGAACGUUAUUCGGAAUUACUGGGCUUAAAGGGUGCGUAGGCGGUGCGGAAAGUUGGGUGUGAAAUCCCUCGGCUCAACCGAGGAACUGCGCCCAAAACUACCGCACUCGAGGAAGAUAGAGGUGAGCGGAACUUACGGUGGAGCGGUGAAAUGCGUUGAUAUCGUAAGGAACACCCGUGGCGAAAGCGGCUCACUGGGUCUUUUCUGACGCUGAUGCACGAAAGCUAGGGGAGCAAACGGG